UUGUUAGUUUCAAGAAAUUUGCUUAGCAAAUACACAAGCAAGAAGAAGAGGGAAGCACCGGAGGCUGGGGGAUCAUGGCCUGUGAUUGGCCAUCUACACCUCUUAGGAGGGCCAGAACCUCCUCACCGGGUAUUAGGCAAAAUGGCUGACGAGUAUGGACCAAUCUUCAAAAUCAAGAUGGGCAUAAAUCGAGCUUUGGUUGUGAGUAAUUGGGAGAUGGCUAAAGAGUGCCUUACUACACACGACAAAGUCUUUGCUAGCCGUCCAAAAACUCUAGCCAUGGAGAUUUUAGGCUACAACUUUUCCAUGUUUGGCUUCAGCCCAUACGGCUCCUACUGGCGUGAGACACGCAAGAUAGCCACACUUGAGCUUCUCUCGAACCAUCGUCUUGGGAAGCUCAGGCAUGUACGAGAGUAUGAGCUGAAGACAUCUUUGAAGGACUUAUACGAGUUAUGGGACAAGAACAAAAGCACUAAUAAGAUGUUGUUGGUAGAGAUGAAGAGAUGGUUCACUGACACAAUCCGUAAUGUCGUUUUAAGAAUGAUUGUCGGAAAGGGAUGCGACUCAGUGGAUGGUGAAGAAUGGAUAGAACUACUGACGAGAUUUUCUGAAAUGAGUGGUAAGUUUGUGGUGUCAGAUGCUCUGCCGUUUCUUAGAUGGUUGGAUAUAGGGGGUGAUGAGAGGUCAAUGAAGAAGAUCGCCAAAGAAUUAGACAUUGUUGUUCAAGGAUGGUUAGAAGAGCACAAGAGGAAGAGAGAUUCUCAGGAGAUUAAAGAAGAAGAUUUAGAUUUUAUGAGUGUGAUGCUCUCGAUCCUGGGUGAUACAAAGCAAUAUUCGGGUCGUGAUGUUGAUACAAUCAAUAAAGCUACUUGCCUGGUAUGCCUCUCUUAAACGAUUUUUUUCUUUUUUUUUUUUUUGGUUUUGAUUUUGAUUUUGUUUCAUUUUAGUUACAUUCUAAGUGCGACGCAAUCCAUCUCUGCGGAGUUCAAAAUCUUAUCCCGCCCCACCCCUUUUUUGUGUUUUAUUAAUUGUUUUUUAUUUUUAUCAACGUACAUACACUAAUGAGGCUCGAAUUCAGGUCUUUAAGUCUUAGGAUAGUUGCUCCUCACCAGUGAAACUAGACCUAUUUCUUUUUACUCAAAAAGUUUUACUUGGCACUUAUGUCUUAACAGAAUAUUAUAUGCUUUUAAAACAUAUUACGCAUAUAAUCAUUCAUAAAGUUGUUACAUCACUCUUCAGGAUGAGACUUCCAGACAAGAGCAGUUAAUUUUGUAGCGUGUGAAUUGAGAGUAUUUAAUUAUGGGUCUUGUUAAGUUACAUAAUAUUUAACUCAUAGCAAAUGCAAAAGUAAUCACCCAUGACCUCUCACUUAUUUCACAUAUUACUAUUUUUUGCGUUGGGUAACUUGUUUUGGGUUGCUUUAUACAUUUAAUUAUAUUCUGCUUUCUCCUAAUCAGUUGAGAGGGCAAAAUAAUUAAUUAAAAAGUCGAUGAAAUCAUCUUCCACUUAUAUAUCAUCGCAUUUGUUAUUUGGGACCUAAAUUUUCAAACAAGUUUUUGAUAAUAUAUUUGUGGAUUUAGGAAAAGUCUUGGGUGAUUUAGGGAUAUUGCUCAUUUUUCAUUCAUUUCUUACUAUGUGUAUGCUUCAAAUUAUCAUGACAAUAUUGAUACACACAUAGAAAAUAAUGAAUGACUAAAGAACAAUGCUCGAAGGGCACUAAAGACCUUCUCGUGAAUUUGAUAUGAUGCAUUAAAUCUAAUUCAUCUUAAUAGUCAAAAGAUGAAAAUGAAAAUCUUUAAGAUGAAUUUAAUUAAGUUGGAUUGUGAAUGAGUGUAACAUAUGAAAGUUCCAAAAUAAUACUUUUAGCCCUACCAAUUUUGCAGGGUCUCGUCUUAGCAGCAACAGACAACACAAAGAUGACAUUGACAUGGGUUAUCUCUUUGCUUCUCAACCACCGUGAUAUUUUAAAUAAAGCUCAAAACGAACUAGAUAUUCUGGUGGGUACGAAAAGGCAAGUGAAUGAGUCAGAUAUAAAGAAUUUAGUUUACUUGCAAGCCAUUCUCAAAGAAGCAAUGCGUUUGUAUCCUGGUUCGCCACUCUUAAUUCCACACAAGUCUAUAGAAGAGUGCACGAUUAGUGGUUAUAAUGUCCCUACCAGCACACAACUUAUUAUCAAUGUUUGGAAGCUUCAACGUGAUCCACAUGUCUGGGAAGAGCCUUGUAAGUUUCAGCCAGAAAGAUUUUUGACAAGGCACAAGGAUAUUGAUGUCAGAGGACAAAAUUUUGAAUUGUUACCUUUUGGUAGUGGUAGAAGAACUUGUCCUGGAGUUUCAUUUGCCCUCCAAGUUAUGGAAUUUACACUUGCUUCUUUACUUCAUGGCUUUGAUUUUGCAACCCCAUCAAAUGAACCGCUGGACAUGGGAGAGGGACUCGGGUUGAGUAUCCAGAAAGCUAGACCACUUGAAGUACUCAUUGCUCCACGUCUUUCUGCUUCUUUGUACGGCUAGAUUGGUUCUCAAUGCAAUCAAUCCAAUAAACUUUUAUAACAAGUAUUCACGUAUUUGUUUGCUUGUAUACUCUUGCUUAUUAUGCCUUCUUUGUAUUCAUUAUUAGACAUGAAUAUCUAUUGUUAAAUAAAGUUUUAUCAUGGCUAAAUUGUCAGGUGAUGACUAUCGGGGCAUCCUAUGGUGUUCAAUCUGAUGUGUUUGUCUAAAAUCAAUAUAUUAGGUAAGCAAUCUUAUCGGGACUCAUUUUAAUUAACAAAGAGCCCAAAACUAGUUAUGUCAAUUAGAGUGCUAAAAAGGUGACGAUGAUGAUUUUGAUUUGAAUAUUGUUAUUUUUUUUGGAAAUGGAUUAUUUUGUUGAUGAUGAUGAAUCCAAUUAUGAUUAUUUUUAUUUUUAAAUGGAUUAUUAUUUUGUUCAUGAUUUAUUAUUAUUAUUAUUAUUAAUGAUAAAUUAUAAUUAAUUAAUAUAGUAGCAAUAAAUGAAUAUAAUUAAUUAAUAUAUUAACAAUAAUAAUAAUAAUUAUUAAUUAUUAAUAACAUCAUCAUCAUCAUCAUCAUUAUUAUUAGGAAGGACUUUUUAGUAACUUGAUACCAUCUAAUUCAUUUUGAUUUUGAUUCGAAAAUAAAGUAAACGCAUUAAUGGAAUCCAGCUCAUUCCGAUUCCAAUUCCUACAGUUUAAUUUACUUAUUCACAUUCCUAUUCUCCAUUCCGAUUCCCGUUUAGUAAACAUAGCAUAAGUUAAAUACAUUGGUUGUAUGGUGCACGUUGAGUAGUAUUCUUUGUUAGGAGGCAUGAGAUCUGAUCAAUCGUUUGGAUUUAAUUCAAUUUGUCAACUGAAUAUUAUUGACUCACAAAUUCUUCCUAACAAAUUGAUUUGAGAACUUUAUUGCUAAAUCAUGAAUUUCUGAAUAGUUUUUCAAGAAUAAAAAAUUGCUCGAAGAUCAGAAUGUGUAAAAGAAAUACAUAACGGGGAUUUAACUCCAUUUGUUCUACGUUAAACUUAGUUAGUUAGGAGCCAACGCGAUGUGUUCUGUUUAAAUAAGGAAAGCUAAGAGUAAAUUUGAUCUUGGCCAUACAUUUAAUUACAUGACAUGUGUCAAAAUCUUUUAUAAACUUUAGGAAAAUUUAGAUUAGAAGAGGAUUAAAUCCAAUGAGGAGAUAUAUAUGUGAUUAGGUGAAGCAAAUCUUUAAGAAAAAAGAUUUUCACCCCUUACAUUUUUGUCAAAUAUCAUAUUUUAUGUUUAGAAUUAAAUAUUCAGUAACUUCAAUUUCUUUAGCACUUUAGUUCUUUAUAUAUGGAUGGACAUGAACAAGUUGAUAUUGUAAAUCACCCGAGAAAUUUUAGCAGGUAGCAGCCAUGGACUUUCUUGUUUCACCUCAAACUAGUGCUAUAGCUGCAAUUUUAAUCACUCUCUUAAUCAUUCUAUACACGUCGUUGUUAGUUUCAAGAAAUUUGCUUAGCAAAUACACAAGCAAGAAGAAGAGGGAAGCACCGGAGGCUGGGGGAUCAUGGCCUGUGAUUGGCCAUCUACACCUCUUAGGAGGGCCAGAACCUCCUCACCGGGUAUUAGGCAAAAUGGCUGACGAGUAUGGACCAAUCUUCAAAAUCAAGAUGGGCAUAAAUCGAGCUUUGGUUGUGAGUAAUUGGGAGAUGGCUAAAGAGUGCCUUACUACACACGAC
Molecule: long non-coding RNA, 4186 nt
Filed under: Citrus sinensis (sweet orange)
Lineage: Eukaryota; Viridiplantae; Streptophyta; Magnoliopsida; Sapindales; Rutaceae
Description: long non-coding RNA (CSIN_LNC001248)
Source: RNAcentral